CUACGGGUUGCAGCAGUGAGGAAUAUUGCACAAUGGGGGGAACUCUGAUGCAGCAACGCCGCGUGGAGGAUGACGCAUUUCGGUGUGUAAACUCCUUUUAUAUGUCAAGAAAAUGACGGUAGCAUAUGAAUAAGCACCGGCUAACUCCGUGCCAGCAGCCGCGGUAAUACGGAGGGUGCAAGCGUUACUCGGAAUCACUGGGCGUAAAGGACGCGUAGGCGGGCUUGUAAGUCAGGUGUGAAAUCCUACAGCUUAACUGUAGAACUGCACUUGAAACUACGAGCCUAGAGUAUGGGAGGGGGAGAUGGAAUUAGUGGUGUAGGGGUAAAAUCCGUAGAUAUCACUAGGAAUACCUAAAGCGAAGGCGAUCUCCUGGAACAUAACUGACGCUAAGGCGUGAAAGCGUGGGGAGCAAACAGGAUUAGAUACCCGGGUAGUC
RNAcentral lists this ribosomal RNA (439 nucleotides) under uncultured bacterium. Its description in RNAcentral is "partial 16S ribosomal RNA". It matches the Rfam family "Bacterial small subunit ribosomal RNA", at positions 339 to 795 of the family's 1533-position model. The record is from RNAcentral.